Molecule: small nucleolar RNA, 74 nt
Filed under: Brugia malayi
Lineage: Eukaryota; Metazoa; Nematoda; Chromadorea; Rhabditida; Onchocercidae
Description: snoRNA Bm15670
Source: RNAcentral
GCUAUUUCAUUCUUUCGAAAGCACUGUAAUAGCUUCUAUAUUUUUUCAUCCUAUCUGAUCAAUAAACUCAUCAU